Molecule: ribosomal RNA, 227 nt
Filed under: uncultured Lactobacillus sp.
Lineage: Bacteria; Bacillati; Bacillota; Bacilli; Lactobacillales; Lactobacillaceae
Description: partial 16S ribosomal RNA
Rfam family: Bacterial small subunit ribosomal RNA
Source: RNAcentral
GAGAUCGGGAUAACACCUGGAAACAGAUGCUAAUACCGGAUAACAACAGAUGAUGCCUAUCAACUGUUUAAAAGAUGGUUCUGCUAUCACUCUUGGAUGGACCUGCGGUGCAUUAGCUAGUUGGUAGGGUAACGGCCUACCAAGGCGAUGAUGCAUAGCCGAGUUGAGAGACUGAUCGGCCACAUUGGGACUGAGANACGGCCCAAACUCCUACGGGAGGCAGCAGC